Molecule: long non-coding RNA, 666 nt
Filed under: Homo sapiens (human)
Lineage: Eukaryota; Metazoa; Chordata; Mammalia; Primates; Hominidae
Description: non-protein coding LINC01719:36
Source: RNAcentral
CCCCACCACAAACCCUCUUUAGAAGACUGGGGGCUCCUAAAGCAUUGAGGCCGAGAGUCCCGUCCUUGUGCAUGUUUGGGCAUUGACCCAGGGCCAAGUCAGUGGGAGACUCCUCCACGCCUACGCCAGGUCCCCAGGUGACAACUGCAGUCUCUGGAUCUGAAGUCAUCCACUUUCCCAUUCCUAGCUCACCUCACCCAUCGUGAAGCCUGGAUUUCCUUUUUAUCACUGGUUUUGAUGGAUUUGAUUAAGGCGUUCCUUGGUGAAGUUUUCUUCAUGUUUCUUGUUCUUAGAAUAAUCAUAUUUCUGUAAUAUUUGAAGUUUAUGGUUUCCAUGGAGCUUCUAAAUCUUUCAUCCAGUAUGUUUUAAAUAUCUUUGUCUCUCUUCUCCACUACACGCCCUUCAGGGAUUCCAUUUAGCCCUAUACUGGGGCGUUUAAAGUUUUGAUGCCGAUGGUGUUUUUAUGUUUUCAAGUCAUUUGUUACUGUGUGUUUCAUUUAUGUUAGUUUCAACUUCUAUUCCUUCUAGUUCAAUAAUCUUCUCUUCUGCAAUGUUUAAUCCACUGCCUUCUUCCAUUUCAGACUGUAAAUCAUACUUUUUAUCUACAGAAUUUGAUAUUUAAAAAAUCUUCAACCUCCCCAUUUAAUUAAAAUACAAUUAUACUAA